Molecule: ribosomal RNA, 2892 nt
Filed under: Acinetobacter baumannii
Lineage: Bacteria; Pseudomonadati; Pseudomonadota; Gammaproteobacteria; Moraxellales; Moraxellaceae
Description: 23S ribosomal RNA
Rfam family: Bacterial large subunit ribosomal RNA
Source: RNAcentral
UCAAGUAAUUAAGUGCAUGUGGUGGAUGCCUUGGCAGUCAGAGGCGAUGAAAGACGUGAUAGCCUGCGAAAAGCUCCGGGGAGGCGGCAAAUAUCCUUUGAUCCGGAGAUGUCUGAAUGGGGAACCCACCUACUUUAAGGUAGGUAUUGCAACAUGAAUACAUAGUGUUGCAAGGCGAACGAGGGGAAGUGAAACAUCUCAGUACCCUUAGGAAAAGAAAUCAAUUGAGAUUCCCUCAGUAGCGGCGAGCGAACGGGGAUCAGCCCAUUAAGUUAUGUGUGUUUUAGUGGAACGCUCUGGGAAGUGCGAACGUAGAGGGUGAUAUUCCCGUACACGAAAGGGCACACAUAAUGAUGACGAGUAGGGCGAGGCACGUGAAACCUUGUCUGAAUAUGGGGGGGACCAUCCUCCAAGGCUAAAUACUCCUGACUGACCGAUAGUGAACCAGUACCGUGAGGGAAAGGCGAAAAGAACCCCUGUGAGGGGAGUGAAAUAGAUCCUGAAACCGCAUGCAUACAAGCAGUGGGAGCACCUUUGUGGUGUGACUGCGUACCUUUUGUAUAAUGGGUCAGCGACUUAUAUUCAGUAGCGAGGUUAACCGUAUAGGGGAGCCGUAGAGAAAUCGAGUCUUAAUAGGGCGUUUAGUUGCUGGGUAUAGACCCGAAACCAGGCGAUCUAUCCAUGAGCAGGUUGAAGGUUGGGUAACACUAACUGGAGGACCGAACCCACUGUCGUUGAAAAGCCAGGGGAUGACUUGUGGAUAGGGGUGAAAGGCUAAUCAAGCCUGGUGAUAGCUGGUUCUCCCCGAAAGCUAUUUAGGUAGCGCCUCGGACGAAUACCAUAGGGGGUAGAGCACUGUUUCGGCUAGGGGGUCAUCCCGACUUACCAAACCGAUGCAAACUCCGAAUACCUAUGAGUACUAUCCGGGAGACAGACUGCGGGUGCUAACGUCCGUAGUCAAGAGGAAAACAAUCCAGACCGCCAGCUAAGGCCCCAAAAUCAUAGUUAAGUGGGAAACGAUGUGGGAAGGCAUAGACAGCUAGGAGGUUGGCUUAGAAGCAGCCACCCUUUAAAGAAAGCGUAAUAGCUCACUAGUCGAGUCGGCCUGCGCGGAAGAUGUAACGGGGCUAAAACUAUGUGCCGAAGCUGCGGAUGUAUACUUUGUAUACGUGGUAGGGGAGCGUUCUGUAAGCCGAUGAAGGUGUGUUGAGAAGCAUGCUGGAGGUAUCAGAAGUGCGAAUGCUGACGUGAGUAACGACAAAACGGGUGAAAAACCCGUUCGCCGAAAGACCAAGGGUUCCAGUCCAACGUUAAUCGGGGCUGGGUGAGUCGACCCCUAAGGCGAGGCCGAAAGGCGUAGUCGAUGGGAAAAUGGUUAAUAUUCCAUUACUUCUGUGUAAUGCGAUGAGAGGACGGAGAAGGCUAAAUCAGCCUGGCGUUGGUUGUCCAGGUGAAAGGAUGUAGGCAUGUAUCUUAGGCAAAUCCGGGGUACUCUAUGCUGAGAUCUGAUAGCAAGCUGUACUUGUACAGCGAAGUGGUUGAUGCCAUGCUUCCAGGAAAAGUCUCUAAGCUUCAGUUACACAGGAAUCGUACCCGAAACCGACACAGGUGGUCAGGUCGAGUAGACCAAGGCGCUUGAGAGAACUCUGCUGAAGGAACUAGGCAAAAUGGUACCGUAACUUCGGGAGAAGGUACGCUGUUGUUGGUGAUGGAACUCGCUUCCUGAGCUGACGACAGCCGCAGAAACCAGGCCGCUGCAACUGUUUAUUAAAAACAUAGCACUCUGCAAACACGAAAGUGGACGUAUAGGGUGUGAUGCCUGCCCGGUGCUGGAAGGUUAAUUGAUGGGGUUAGCGUAAGCGAAGCUCUUGAUCGAAGCCCCAGUAAACGGCGGCCGUAACUAUAACGGUCCUAAGGUAGCGAAAUUCCUUGUCGGGUAAGUUCCGACCUGCACGAAUGGCAUAAUGAUGGCGGCGCUGUCUCCAGCAGAGGCUCAGUGAAAUCGAAAUCGCUGUGAAGAUGCAGUGUACCCGCGGCUAGACGGAAAGACCCCGUGAACCUUUACUGCAGCUUGACACUGAACUUUGACCUUACUUGUGUAGGAUAGGUGGGAGGCUUUGAAGCUGGAACGCUAGUUCCAGUGGAGCCGUCCUUGAAAUACCACCACGGUAAUGUUGAGGUUCUAACUCUGUCCCGUGAUCCGGGACGAGGACCGUGUCUGGUGGGUAGUUUGACUGGGGCGGUCUCCUCCUAAAGAGUAACGGAGGAGUACGAAGGUGCGCUCAGCGUGGUCGGAAAUCACGCGUAGAGUAUAAAGGCAAAAGCGCGCUUAACUGCGAGACCCACAAGUCGAGCAGGUACGAAAGUAGGUCUUAGUGAUCCGGUGGUUCUGUAUGGAAGGGCCAUCGCUCAACGGAUAAAAGGUACUCUGGGGAUAACAGGCUGAUACCGCCCAAGAGUUCAUAUCGACGGCGGUGUUUGGCACCUCGAUGUCGGCUCAUCUCAUCCACGGGGCUGAAGCAGGUCCCAAGGGUAUGGCUGUUCGCCAUUUAAAGAGGUACGCGAGCUGGGUUUAGAACGUCGUGAGACAGUUCGGUCCCUAUCUACCGUGGGCGCUGGAAAUUUGAGAGGAUCUGCUCCUAGUACGAGAGGACCAGAGUGGACGAACCUCUGGUGUACCGGUUGUGACGCCAGUCGCAUCGCCCGGGUAGCUAUGUUCGGAAGGGAUAACCGCUGAAAGCAUCUAAGCGGGAAGCCUACCUCAAGAUAAGAUUUCCCUAGGACUUUAUGUCCUCUAAAGAGCCGUUCGAGACUAGGACGUUGAUAGGUUGGAUGUGGAAGCAUAGUGAUAUGUGAAGCUGACCAAUACUAAUUGCUCGUGAGGCUUGACUA